RNAcentral lists this ribosomal RNA (1549 nucleotides) under Klebsiella pneumoniae. RNAcentral describes it as "bacterial SSU rRNA". It matches the Rfam family "Bacterial small subunit ribosomal RNA". Lineage: Bacteria; Pseudomonadati; Pseudomonadota; Gammaproteobacteria; Enterobacterales; Enterobacteriaceae. The record is from RNAcentral.
AAAUUGAAGAGUUUGAUCAUGGCUCAGAUUGAACGCUGGCGGCAGGCCUAACACAUGCAAGUCGAGCGGUAACAGGAAGAGCUUGCUCUCGGGUGACGAGCGGCGGACGGGUGAGUAAUGUCUGGGAAACUGCCUGAUGGAGGGGGAUAACUACUGGAAACGGUAGCUAAUACCGCAUAAUGUCGCAAGACCAAAGUGGGGGACCUUCGGGCCUCAUGCCAUCAGAUGUGCCCAGAUGGGAUUAGCUAGUAGGUGGGGUAACGGCUCACCUAGGCGACGAUCCCUAGCUGGUCUGAGAGGAUGACCAGCCACACUGGAACUGAGACACGGUCCAGACUCCUACGGGAGGCAGCAGUGGGGAAUAUUGCACAAUGGGCGCAAGCCUGAUGCAGCCAUGCCGCGUGUGUGAAGAAGGCCUUCGGGUUGUAAAGCACUUUCAGCGGGGAGGAAGGCGGUGAGGUUAAUAACUUUGCUCACUGACGUUACCCGCAGAAGAAGCACCGGCUAACUCCGUGCCAGCAGCCGCGGUAAUACGGAGGGUGCAAGCGUUAAUCGGAAUUACUGGGCGUAAAGCGCACGCAGGCGGUCUGUCAAGUCGGAUGUGAAAUCCCCGGGCUCAACCUGGGAACUGCAUUCGAAACUGGCAGGCUAGAGUCUUGUAGAGGGGGGUAGAAUUCCAGGUGUAGCGGUGAAAUGCGUAGAGAUCUGGAGGAAUACCGGUGGCGAAGGCGGCCCCCUGGACAAAGACUGACGCUCAGGUGCGAAAGCGUGGGGAGCAAACAGGAUUAGAUACCCUGGUAGUCCACGCCGUAAACGAUGUCGAUUUGGAGGUUGUGCCCUUGAGGCGUGGCUUCCGGAGCUAACGCGUUAAAUCGACCGCCUGGGGAGUACGGCCGCAAGGUUAAAACUCAAAUGAAUUGACGGGGGCCCGCACAAGCGGUGGAGCAUGUGGUUUAAUUCGAUGCAACGCGAAGAACCUUACCUGGUCUUGACAUCCACAGAACUUUCCAGAGAUGAGAUUGUGCCUUCGGGAACUGUGAGACAGGUGCUGCAUGGCUGUCGUCAGCUCGUGUUGUGAAAUGUUGGGUUAAGUCCCGCAACGAGCGCAACCCUUAUCCUUUGUUGCCAGCGUUCGGCCGGGAACUCAAAGGAGACUGCCAGUGAUAAACUGGAGGAAGGUGGGGAUGACGUCAAGUCAUCAUGGCCCUUACGACCAGGGCUACACACGUGCUACAAUGGCAUAUACAAAGAGAAGCGACCUCGCGAGAGCAAGCGGACCUCAUAAAGUAUGUCGUAGUCCGGAUUGGAGUCUGCAACUCGACUCCAUGAAGUCGGAAUCGCUAGUAAUCGUAGAUCAGAAUGCUACGGUGAAUACGUUCCCGGGCCUUGUACACACCGCCCGUCACACCAUGGGAGUGGGUUGCAAAAGAAGUAGGUAGCUUAACCUUCGGGAGGGCGCUUACCACUUUGUGAUUCAUGACUGGGGUGAAGUCGUAACAAGGUAACCGUAGGGGAACCUGCGGUUGGAUCACCUCCUUACCUUAAAGAA